GACGAACGCUGGCGGCGUGCUUAACACAUGCAAGUCGAGCGGUAAGGCCCUUUCGGGGGUACACGAGCGGCGAACGGGUGAGUAACACGUGGGUGACCUGCCCUCAGCUCUGGGAUAAGCCUGGGAAACUGGGUCUAAUACUGGAUAUGACUCCACGGUGCAUGUCGUGGGGUGGAAAGCCUUGUGCGGCUGAGGAUGGGCCCGCGGCCUAUCAGCUUGUUGGUGGGGGAUGGCCUACCAAGGCGACGACGGGUAGCCGGCCUGAGAGGGCGACCGGCCACACUGGGACUGAGACACGGCCCAGACUCCUACGGGAGGCAGCAGUGGGGAAUCUUGCGCAAUGGGCGAAAGCCUGACGCAGCGACGCCGCGUGAGGGAUGACGGCCUGGUGUAA
RNAcentral lists this ribosomal RNA (394 nucleotides) under uncultured bacterium. RNAcentral's name for it is "bacterial SSU rRNA". It matches the Rfam family "Bacterial small subunit ribosomal RNA", at positions 28 to 428 of the family's 1533-position model. The record is from RNAcentral.